GACGAACGCUGGCGGCGUGCUUAACACAUGCAAGUCGAACGGAAAGGCCCUGCUUUUGUGGGGUGCUCGAGUGGCGAACGGGUGAGUAACACGUGAGUAACCUGCCCUUGACUUUGGGAUAACUUCAGGAAAAUGGGGCUAAUACCGGAUAGGAGCUCCUGCUGCAUGGGGGGGGGUGGAAAGUUUCGGCGGUUGGGGAUGGACUCGCGGCUUAUCAGCUUGUUGGUGGGGUAGUGGCUUACCAAGGCUUUGACGGGUAGCCGGCCUGAGAGGGUGACCGGCCACAUUGGGACUGAGAUACGGCCCAGACUCCUACGGGAGGCAGCAGUGGGGAAUAUUGCACAAUGGGCGGAAGCCUGAUGCAGCAACGCCGCGUGCGGGAUGACGGCCUUCGGGUUGUAAACCGCUUUCGCCUGUGACGAAGCGUGAGUGACGGUAAUGGGUAAAGAAGCACCGGCUAACUACGUG
Molecule: ribosomal RNA, 468 nt
Filed under: uncultured bacterium
Lineage: Bacteria
Description: partial 16S ribosomal RNA
Rfam family: Bacterial small subunit ribosomal RNA
Source: RNAcentral